This is a long non-coding RNA of Lytechinus variegatus (green sea urchin), 680 nucleotides long. RefSeq lists it as uncharacterized. Lineage: Eukaryota; Metazoa; Echinodermata; Echinoidea; Temnopleuroida; Toxopneustidae. The record is from RefSeq and is a predicted model, not a curated record. The transcript has 3 exons.
GGCGAAUUGACCUGUUUAAGGUCCGUAGACAGAAGGCUUGAACAGGGGGUUGUACAAGAUACCGGCACAUGUAAAGCGCAUGCGUACGCGUGCGCAGUGCUAUGCUAGUGGUCGGAAGAUGGCGUUGAGAAUGUUCGACUCGGAGACUGCUGCAGUGCACUGGAAAAAUCGUGUUUAAUCUCCGUUUUAGAAAAUGAAAGAUUUGGGGGUGACAAACCUGCUUCAGGAGUGGGACUUCCCACAUUUAGUUCCAAUCUUUAGAGUUAAAUGUUGCAGAAGAUGAGCACGAAGAAGACACCUACUGGAUGCAAUAUUACUCAUCACCUGACAACAUUGUUGUUAAUGUGACGAACCUCGGUACCGAGAUAUGAGUUGACUAGAGGAAACCCGCGACCAAGCACAGCAGAAAUUCUUGACAAAUAUCUACAGCUUUUGGGAAUGAUUGAUCAAGACUUUGAUUUAACAAUUGAUGCAGCUCCUGGUGCCCUUUUCACAAUGUGGCCAAAGUUGUCCAGGCAGACUUUGGAAUUUGCGGAGAAGAUUAAUCCAGGGUAUAGAAAGAUCCUAGGGGCUGGAGUGGACCAGAAAAUGACGCAGAGUAAGUUUUAGUCUUAUAGUUAUACUCAAUUCAAACUUACAGUAGCAGUGCGAAGACUUUUACAAAGCUGCAUCAAUUAGCA